Molecule: long non-coding RNA, 9410 nt
Filed under: Elaeis guineensis (African oil palm)
Lineage: Eukaryota; Viridiplantae; Streptophyta; Magnoliopsida; Arecales; Arecaceae
Description: long non-coding RNA (EGUI_LNC029236)
Source: RNAcentral
GCAGUUAUCGUAAAUCAGGGUUGCGACAACUACCACAUAUUCAUGGAGAACUCUCUCUACAAAUAUGCAAGAUAUUCUAAACAUGAUAUCAAUGCAUUACAAUAGAAUUCAUAAUAAAUUAAUUUUAAAAUUAAACUAACUAAAAUCAACUUUUAUCUCUCACAAAAUUUGAAUAACAUUCAAAAGGUCUUUCAUUAAUUAAACCGCAAAUAAUAAUCUUGUAGAAUAUAGUAAUAAGUCUACUUUUAUACUCGAUUGAUACUAUCAACUCUUGCUUCUAACUCACUCCCAAAGCAAUAUCCACAUCCAUAAUUAAGAAUAUGAAUCUAAAAAAAAAAAGAAGAAGAGAUAAUGAACUUGAUAGUCCAGUAAGUAAUAAAUAUCUCAACUAGACAUCUUAGAUAUUAUCAUAAGAUAUGAUGCUCAAAAAUAAAUACUAUAAAUAUUAUAAAAAUAUAUAUUCUAUGCUAAUUAAUACAAAUCAAAUAUUUUUAAAUACUCAUAUACAUACAUAAUCAUAAAUUCAAUUCAAAAUAAAAUAUAUAUAACUCAACAACCUUAAUUAUGACCAUACUUAUUCCUAUAGCAGGGUCAGAACAGAGUGAUAAUAUAUAAUCCCACUGGCAGGGUCCAAAAAUCAAUACAUGACUUCCACGAGCAAAGUCCAAAAAUCAAUACAUAACUCCAUUGGCCGAGUGCAAAAAUCAAUGUAUAAUCUUGAUUGGUAAGAUUCAAAAAUCAACGUAUAACCUCUAUUGACAGGGUCCAAAACAUAAUUAGGCUGAGAACACAAAAUCCGAUCCGUAUCAAAAAAAACUUUUGCAACAGAACAUAUAAGCAUCAUAAUUCUAUUAAACAUAUGUAUAUUCCACAAUAAUCAGUAAAUCAUAAUAUUUCAAAAAUCUUAAAUUUUUGCAAUCACUUUCAUUCAAAAAAUAGUUUGUUAAAUCAUGCAUAGCUUCAAAGACCAAUUAUUUGCAUUCAAAAUAAAUUAUGAAAUAUCUCGAAAAGAUAGUUUACUAUUUAUCUCUGCAGAACACUGAACGAACAGAUUCAGUCAAUCUUGAGAGAAUCUUUUAGAAUCAAUUAUUCAAAAUAUAUUCUUCUAUCAGUCUUAAACUAUAAUCAAUAAAAAAUUCUAAGUUACGACAUCCUCACAAAACUGAUCAAAAAUAGUAGCAUCCAACGUCUUAGUUAGUUCAAUCAAAAUAAUUUUAUCUGAUCAUGCUUUAGAAUAAGAAGCAGAUGGUCUAAUAAAGAUCAAGGGUGAUCAAAUCUAUUAGUGUCUGAUAAAAGUCAAAGUAGAAGUCAGUACACCAAUUGAGAGUCAAAAAUUAAUUUGAUCAAGUAGCUUUAUUUAAUCAGGAUCAUUUAACAUAAAAUGAUCUAAUAAAGAUCAAAAGGACCAAAUCUUGUGAUAUUGGAUAAAAACUCAGAUGGUGUGGGCAUGUUGUCUAAUUGACAGAGUAGUUCGAAACCCUCUACUUGAAUCAACUCAUAUUUAAGGUGAUAGAUCAUGUUCACUGGAUUCAUAAAUCACAUAGUGAAGAAAAUAUCAAAAGAAAAAUAAAUUAAAAAGAUGGAACAGAGCUAAUCAGAUGAUACUAUCCGAUAAUUCGAUCGGUCUAAUCAAGAUGAUUUAAUCAAAUCAUGAUUGAAUUAGUAUAUACAUGAUUCAAUAAAAAUUAUAGAUAAUUGAACCUAAUGAUAUCUAGAUCUAACCAAGAUGGAUGUCGGUACGUUAUCCGACGGCCGUGGAUCAGGACUUUCUUUAUUAAGGUCAAAUUAGAAUCACUGAGAGAAGGCUUUUUACUCGAUCAAUUUUAAAGAGAUAAUUUUAUAGAGAGAAAAUCUGUAGAGAAAAAAAGAGAAACUUUCUAGAGAAAAAAAGUGGGGAUGCAAACUCAGAAAAGAUUGAGAGGAAAGAGAGAGAAACUCUCUCUUCUUCUUUUUUUCUUCUUCUUCUUCUUUUCUCUUGUGGGUUCUUUACAAAAUAGGGACCGUCAUCCUCUUAUUUCUUGAAGUGGAGGAAUACCCCAAUUGGUGGUGCUCAUGGUCGAAAGGGCAAACCACAAUGGUGCGACCCAAGGCCCCUGGUCCGAUGAUUGAUGACGAUGGCGGCGGUGAAGAAAAUAAAAAUAAAUAUGAAAAAAAUAAGGAAAAUUCACAAGCUUGUUUUUUUUUCACAAAAAAUCCGACGAUUCUCGGUAGGAAUCAAGGUCUAAGGGCUAGGAACAGUGGAGAGAAAGAUCAGCUAGUAUUUUAGAGAACUCUUACCUCACCUUCAGCAAAGUUUUUCUGGCAAACACCACUAUGAAUCAAGUCCUCGGCUCUAGAAAAAAUUAGGAAAGAAAAAAGGUUGGGCUCAGACGAUUGAUCUUAGUGGAGUAUUAGAGCCUUUAAAUAGAUGCUACUGGGAGGAUUGGAGAUCAAAAUAGGUUGAAUCUGAAUCAAAUUAAGCCUCCUUUCAGUCAGAAAGAAAGGAAGAAAGAACUCCUUCGAGAGUUUCAGUUGGUUGUCCAUAGCCCAGCAUGUGCUGGCUUAAAAAUUUUGCUUUUUUUCAGUGCUUUAGAGAUCGUAUUAUAUCUUUUGGGCUUGAGUCUGAAUGGGAACCGGGGUAUUACAAUGUGUUUCUUGAAAAGUUUGUUAUUGAAUUCUCAGUAAAAGUUAGCUUUUUUUCGUGCAUUAUUUGUUUGGUAGAUCUAAGUGAAGAUAAUAUUGUCAAAUAAAUGAUCUUCUUAAUUUGUCCAUAAAAAGAUGAGGUGAUAUUUUGCUGCACACAUUGUUCAUGUGUAUUACAUGUCUCAAACCAGAUGCAAGAUGACUUGAUUCUAGUAUAUGUGGAAUGUUCUCUAAAUUAUCCAGGUAAUUUUGAUAAGCAGAUAGUUGAGUAGUGUUUCCUUUCCAUUAUGUAUUACUUGAAAAGGAUUCAAAUUUAAAAUGUUAUGUAUUACUUAGUCAAUACAACUAUAUAAGCACGGGGCGUUUUCGUACUUGGCAUUCUUAAGCCCAAUAUUAUUAUAUAGCCCACAAAUCCAAAGCCCAAGGGCAAAUUUUGCGAUCAGUUGUACAUAUAGUAAAGCAUAGAAUAUAGAUCAGUGAUCAGUCCACCAUAAAUAUUUCUUUGAGAGUGGAAUUGAAACGAAGCGUUGACGUGACAACAAGAGCAACGAGCUAACAUGGUCUAGUGCCGACAUGCUAGCGCAAAUGCCCAGUCAGGCAACUUCUCAAACAAGUGGCGUGCGAGUUCGGGUAGCAAGAUUUCACACAAAGCAGGGCAAAGACGUGGAGGAUGGUCGCGAACAGAAGGAUGAGAGUAAAGUCAACAAGUCGCUCAGAUCCAUGUCGGUGUCCGUUCCGUUGAAUGUUGAAUUCGGUUCCGUUGGAAUUGGAGGGAUGCAGGAGGAGCGUGAGCUGGGGGUGAAAGCUGACUGCUUGCUUAUUUUACGUGUCAGCAACCUACAAGGAGAGGGUGGACUUGGGGUCAGGAAAUCCCGGUCACAGAGGAUGUGGAUAACCUAUGAAGAGGUGCAAAAUAAUUCCAUGGAAGGUUGAUAGAAAAAUGCACAACUCCUGUCCUUGUUGACCACUUUCGCUGCUUUGUUUAGCAUUUACCAAACACAAAUCCAUAAAUCAAACUGACAAUCUUGUGUCUGAGAAGCUAACAGACUAUGGUAGUGGUGGUAGCGGUGGGGUGUUAAUAGUGACAGCGAAGAUACGGUAGAGGCCAUAACAGAGUUGGUGGGGGAGCGACGAUGGCGAUGAUAAUAGUAACGAUAGUAAUAAAAGAUCUAAUGAUGAUAGUAAUAAUGAUAAUAGUGAUAAUGAUGAUAAUAGUAACGAUAAUAGUGAUAAUGAUGAUAAUAGUAACGAUAGUAAUAAGAUCUAAUGAUGAUAGUAAUAAUGAUGAUAGUAAUAAUGAUAAUAGUGAUCAUAAUAAUGUCAAUAAUGCCAAUAACAAUAGAGAUGGCAUCUAUAAUAAUGGCGGUAAAAGAUCUUAAGUUUUUUUUUNUUUUUUUUUUUUUUUUAAGUCAUGAAAAUAAUAAUUUUUUGAAAAAUCAAAAAUAAAUUGAUUGCACUAAAAUUUAUUUCUUCUCAAGUUUUAUAAGUUAUUAAAAAUAAAAAAGAAAUUUCUUUUUUAUUUUAUAUAUAAAAUUUCUUUCUUCUCAACCGCACCUGGAAUCGGGGGCCAUCGGAUCAAGACGCCAGCCCCGUCACACGUGCAAUCAUUCCUCUCGUUCCAUAUAAAGACUCCCGUACCAGAGCAGAUCCAACGGCUCCGAGAUGAAGACAUAAAAUACCAGACGUUAUGUUGCGCACCUGAAACGCCACGUGGCACUAGUCCACCACUUCUCAUCAGGGCUUUGUUAAAUUAACAGGAGGCGCCGUCUUCCCGCUUCUGGAACCCAGAGUCGAUGGGUGCCCAAUAGAGCGCACCGUUUGUCCUCUUCUCCUCCCCCUCCUCCCCCCCCCGGCCCCCCUUCGGAGGAGACCGGCGCAAGCGUGGAAGCCGAUCUUUGAGAGCGGUUUAGUUUUCUUUUUCCCUUCUUGAAUUUGUGCUUUGGCUUCGCGGAUUGGGGCUUCUUGGUUUUCUCCAAGAGGUCGAAUCGUAUCGGAGAUGGCGAUGGGAUGGUAUCCGGCAGAAACUUGAGCUCCCCUCUCGUAUCAGGUUCUUUUAAGCUUUUCUUGGUCAUCGAUUCUUGGCAUCUUGUCAUCUCAUUUCAAGCAUCUGUUCUGUUGGUAAUUUUUCUUGUUUAUUUUUCUUUCUUUUCUUGGUUUCUCCCAUCAUUAACUUCUAGUUGGAGUUUGUGAAAUCAAAAUUCUGCGCGAUUAAAUGCUGCAUCGGUAUCAGGUUCUUCGAUAUUACUUUUUUUUUGGGUUGUCGAUUCUUGAUCUUCUUCGUGGAUCUGUUCUGUUGGUAUAUUUUCUUGUUUCCCCUUUCCUUCUUGUUUUGAGUUAUCGUUAAUUUCUUGUUGGAAUCUGCAGAUCAAAAUUCCAUGAGAUCACGUGCUGCACUGUUUUCAGGUUCAUUGAUCUUUUUUUCACCCGAUUCUUGACGUCCUGUAAUCUUCUUUUAAGAAACGAUUUUGUUGGUAUUUUUUCUUUUUCUUUCUUUUUCCUUGAUCUUUUAUUGUCUUGUUCAAUCAUAAUUUGUAUCUGAAGUUGUCGUAAUUUAAAUUUAGUGUGAUUAUGUGUUGCAUCGAUGUGUUAGCUAUGAUGGGUAUUUAUUGUUAAAUACUAGUGGAAUUUAGGAAUGUAGGAUGGGAUGGUUCUUGGAGGAUGGAAUAAAUUUUUGGAGUUUUGAUUUGUUAUUUCGUCUUGUAGUUUCUUGCAUAAUGUGUGUAAUACCUCUGUUCCCAUUCAAACUCAAGCCCAAAAGAUAUAGCACGAUCUUUAAAGUACUGAAAAUAAAAAAAGAGAAACUUUUUAAGCAGCACGGGCUGAGCUAUGGAUAGCCAACUAAAACUCUCGAAGGAGUUCUUUCUUCCCUUCUUCCCAAUUGAAAAGAGACCUAAUUUGAUUGGGAUUCAAUUUAUUUUUUUACUCCAAUCUUCCUACUAGCGUCUAUUUAAAAGCUCAGACACUCCUCUCAGAUCAAUUGUUGGAGUCGGACCUUUUUUUUUCCUAAUUUUCUCUGGAGCCUACUUGAUUUACGGUUGUGUUUGUCGAAAAACUUUGCCGGAGGUCAGAUAAGAGUUCUCUAAAGCACUAGCUGAUCUUUCUAUCCAUCAUUCUUGACCUUUAGACUUUGAUUCCGAUCGGCAAUCGUUGAAUUUUCUUUUUUUUUUUAAAGCUUCUAUUUUUUUUUUUUAAUGUUUGUUUUUAUUUUUUUUACCACCAUUGUUGCCGUUAGUCAUUGGACCAAGGCCACUGCUAUGGUUUUCCCUUCUGGCCAUGGGCACCACCAGUUGGGGUAUUCCCUUCCUUCAGAAAAUAAGGGGAUUAUGGUCUCUAUUUUGUAAAGAACCCACUAGAGGAAAGCAAAAAAAAAAAAACCUUUUUCUUUCUACUUUCUUGUCUCUAAAAUUUUUUUUUAAUUUUUUCUCUCUACUUUCUCUCUUUACGAAUUUUCUCUUUUUAAAAUUAUUUUUUUCUAAAAAAUUAUCUCUCUAAGAUUAAUUGGAUAAAAAUUUUCUCUCAAUGAUUUUGAUAUGACUUUAGCAAAGAGAAUCCUAAUCGGUGGUCACCAGACAGUAUACUGGCAUCCAUCUUAACCAGAUCAGAUAUCAUUAGAUUCGAUUAUUUAUGAUUUUUAUUAAAUCAUUUAUACUCUAAUUCAAACAUGACUUUAUUAAAUCAUCUUGAUUAGACUGAUCGGAUUGUCGAAUAAUAUUGUUUGAUUAACUUUAUUUCAUCUUGUUAAUUUAUUGUUCUUCUGAUAUUCUCUCUAUGUGAUUUAUAAAACUAGUGAACUUGAUUUAUUGCUUUAAAUCUGAGUUGAUUUCAGUAGGAGAUUUUGAACUACUCUGUUAAUCAGACAAUAUGCCAACACCAUUCGAGCCUUCAUCUAGUAUCAUAAGAUUUGAUCAUUAUUAAUCUUUAUUAGAUCAUUAUAUUUUAAGUGAUUCUGAUUAGAUGAAGCUAUUUAAUCAAAUUGAUUCUUGACUAUCCAUUAGUGUAUCAAUAUCUACUUUGAUUUAUGUCAGACACUAAUAGAUUUGAUCAUCUUUGAUCUCUAUUGGACUAUCUAUUUUCUAUUUUAAAUAUGAUUAGAUAAAAUUAUCUUAAUUAGAUCGACUAAAACGUUAGAUGCUUCCGCUUCUGAUUAGCUUUGUGGGGAUGUCAGAACUUAAUAUUUUUUAUUAGUUGUAGUUUAAGACUGAUAAAAUAAUAUAUUUUAAAUAAUAAAUUUUGAAAGAUGCUCUCAUGAUUGAUUGAAUAUGUUCGUGCAGUAUUUUAUAAAGAUAAGUAAUGAACCAACUUUCAAGAUAUUUAUAAUUUAUUUUGAAAGCAAAUAAUUGAUCUCUGAAGUUAUGCAUGAUUUAAAAAUUAUUUUUUGAAUGGAAGUAAUUGAAAAUUUUAAGAUUUUUAGAAUAUUAUGAUUUAUUGAUUUAUUAUGGAAUAUGCAUAUAUUCAAUGAAAUUAUGAUACUUAUAUAUUAUGUUGUAAAAGUGUUUUGAUAUAGAUCGAAUUUUAUUCUCUCACUUUAAUUAGGUUCUGGAUCCUACCAAUAGAGGUUAUAUAUUGAUUUUUAGAUUCUACCAAUAGGGGUUAUACAUUGAUUUUGGGAUACUGCUAGUGGAUGUUAUGUAUUGAUUUUUGGAUCCAGCCAAUGGGAGUUAUGCAUUAAUUUUUGGAUCCUACUAAUGGAGAUUAUAUAUUGGCACUCUGUUCUAGCCUUGUCAUAGGGAUAAAUAUGGUCGUAGUUAAGACUGUUAAGCUAUAUAUUUUUUAUUUUGAAUUAGAUUUAUGAUUAUGUAUGCAUAUGAGUAUUUGAAAGAUUUGAUUUGCAUUAAUUAGUAUAGAAUACAUAUUCUUAUGAUAUUCAUGGCAUUUGUUUUUGAGCAUCAUAUCUUAUGAUAAUAUCUGAAAUAUUUAAUAAGAUAUUCAUUAUUUACUAGACUAUCGAGCUCAUUACCUCUUCUUUCUUUUCAGAUUCAGAUUCUUAAUUAUGGAUAUUGAUACUAUUUUUGGAGUAAGUUAGAAGCAAGAGCCGAUAGUAUCAAUAGAGUUUAGACAAAGAUUUAUUAUAAUAUUUUACAAGAUUAUUAUUCAAAAUUUAAUUGAUAUAAGAUCUUUUGAAUAUUAUUAAAAUUUUAUUAGAGAUAAAAGUUAAUUUUGGUUAGUUAAAUUUUAGACUUAAUUUAUUAUAAAUUUCACUGUGAUGUAUUAAUAUCGUGUUUGGAAUACCUUGCAUGCUUAUGAAGAGAGUUCUCCAGAAAUAUGCGGAUGGUUAUCGUAAGCCAGGGUUACGACAACCAUCAUAUAUUCAUAGAGAACUUUCUCCACAAAUAUGUAAGACAUUCCAAACAUGAUAUCAAUAUAUCAUAAUAGAAUUCAUAAUAAAUUAAUUUUAAAAUUAAACUAACUAAAAUCAAUUUUUAUCUCUCACAAAAUUUGAAUAACAUUCAAAAGAUCUUUCAUUAAUUAAAUCUUGAAUAAUAAUCUUGUAAAAUAUAAUAAUAAGUCUAUUUUUAUACUCGAUUGAUACUAUCGACUCUUGCUUCUAACUCACUCCCAAAGUAAUAUCCACGUCCAUAAUUAAGAAUCUGAAUCUGCAAAAAAAGGAAAGGUGAUAAACUUGAUAGUCUAGUAAGUAAUAAAUAUCUCAACUAGAUAUUUUAGAUAUUAUCAUAAGAUAUGAUGCUUAAAAAUAAGUGCUAUGAAUAUCAUAAGAACAUAUAUUCCAUGCCAAUUAAUAUAAAUUAAAUCUUUUCAAGUACUCAUAUACAUACAUAAUCAUAAAUCCAAUUCAAAAUAAAAUACAUAUAACUCAACCAUACUUAUUUCUAUGGCAGGGUCAGAAUAAAGUGAUAAUAUACAAUCCCACUGGCAGGGUCCAAAAAUCAAUAUAUAACUUUCACUAGCAAGGUCCAAAAAUCAAUACAUAACUCCACUGGCAGAGUGCAAAAAAUCAAUGUAUAACCUCGAUUGGCAAAAUUCGAAAACCAACGUAUAACCUCUAUUGGUAGGAUCCAAAAUAUAAUUAGGUUAAGAAUACAAAAUUCAAUUCGUAUUAAAAUACUUUUGCAACAGAAUAUAUAAGUACCAUAAUUUUAUUGAACAUAUGCAUAUUCUAUAAUAAAUCAAUAAAUCAUAAUAUUUCAAAAAUCUCAAAUUUUACGAUCACUUUCAUUCAAAAAAUUAUUGUUAAAUCAUGCAUAACUUCAAAGAUCAAUUAUUUGCUUUCAAAAUAAAUUAUGAAAUAUCUUGAAAAGACAGUUUACUAUUUAUCUCUGUAGAUCACUGAAUGGUUAGAUUCAGUCAAUCUUGAGAGAAUCUUUCAGAACCAAUUAUUUAAAAUAUAUUCUUCUAUCAGUCUUAAACCGUAAUUAAUAAAAAAUCCUAAGUUACGACAUCCUCGCAAAAUUGAUCAGAAAUGGUAGCAUCCAACGUCUUAGUUAGUCUAAUCAAAAUAAUUUUAUCCGAUCAUGCUUAGAAUAAGAAGCAGAUGGUCCAAUAAAGAUCAAGGGUGAUCAAAUCUAUUAGUGUCCGAUAAAAAUCAAAGUAGAGGUCAGUACACCAAUUGAGAGUCAGGAAUUAAUUUGAUCAAGUAGCUUUAUUUAAUCAGGAUCAUUUAAAAUAUGAUUAUCUAAUAAAGAUCAACAAGGAUCAAAACUUGUGAUACUAGAUAAAGGCUUGGAUGGUGUGGGCAUGUUGUCUAAUUGAAAAAGUAGUUCGAAAUCCUCUUUUUGAAUCAACUCAUAUUUAAAGCAACAGGUCAGGUUUACUGGUUUCAUAAAUCACGU